RNAcentral lists this microRNA precursor (91 nucleotides) under Branchiostoma floridae (Florida lancelet). RNAcentral's name for it is "mir-2060 microRNA precursor family". It matches the Rfam family "mir-2060 microRNA precursor family". The record is from Rfam by way of RNAcentral. Lineage: Eukaryota; Metazoa; Chordata; Leptocardii; Amphioxiformes; Branchiostomatidae.
ACAAGUCCUUGACUAAAUGUUCAGCACCAUGGACAGGCAUGUUUACCUGUGUGUGGAUAGUAUUCAGCACCAAGGACAGGCAUGUUUACCC